This is a long non-coding RNA of Magnolia sinica, 1149 nucleotides long. RefSeq lists it as uncharacterized. The record is from RefSeq and is a predicted model, not a curated record. The transcript has 3 exons. Lineage: Eukaryota; Viridiplantae; Streptophyta; Magnoliopsida; Magnoliales; Magnoliaceae.
GGCAUUCCCUCUAAAAAUUUUCUGUGUAUCAAGCAUUCAUUUAAAUGAUCAUUAUGUGCUCCAUUGCAUUUUGAAUUUGAACUUCAUUGCAUUUUGAUGUGCUUCAUUACAUUCAAGAAGUCCAGAUACUAAGUGUUCUUCCCGUCCACUUUGUGCAAUUUUCAUGAUAAUGUUUUUGUAAAGUGAUCAUCAGUCAAGUUUACAUCAAGUGUCAAUUGAUCUAUCAUCUUUGAACAUACUUGUAAAAAACGGUCCUCUUGUAAUGAUGUUGGGUUUUCACAAUAAUGGUACAAUGAAAUGCCUCCAAUAUACAACAUUGUUUAGUAUUAGCGUUUGCUUAUGUAGGCCUGCUUUACUUUUCAUAUAGAAUAUAUUGCCAUCUUGUCUUUAGAAUUUCAUCAGUAUGCUUUUACUUAUGCCUUUGCAAGGGACCAAAUUGGCGCAUCAUUAGCUUUUUGAUUCCAUGUUCUUCACUGUCUUCGUCUUCUAGAAGCAGAUUCAUUUCCAACAGCUGAUAAGCUAUUCCGAAAUAAAAUUUGGGUUGGAACAGUCGAAGGUCUUCCUGUCUAUUUCAUUGAGCCUCAUCAUCUGGCUAAAUUCUUCUGGAGAGGACAGUUUAAUGGAGAGAAUGAUGAUUUCAAGCAUUUUUCAUUCUUUAGUCGUGCAGCACUUGAAUUGCUUCUUCGAGCUGGCAAGAAACCAGAUAUAAUCCAUCGCCAUGACCGGCAGACAGCGUUUGUUGCACCACUCUAUUGGGAUUUGUACGCUCCUAGAGGUUUGAAUAUGGCUAGGAUUUGCUUUACAUGCCACAAUUUUGAGUAUCAGGGGACAACACCUGCUUCAGAGUUGGCAUCCUGUGGCGUUGAUGUUCACCAGCUGAGUAGACAUGAUAGGAUGCAGGAAAAUGCAUCACAUGAUAGAGUCAAUCCAAUUAAGGUUAUUGAUUUCAAUGGUUCAUUUGAAUUAAGAAAAAGGCAUCAAGGUGAGACGUGUUUUACAUGUUCCCAUUCUUUAGGGUGUGAUUGUGUUCUCCAACAUUGUAACAAUAGUAUCUCCAUCUUUCUCUCCCUGCCCCGACUCUCUCUCUAUGUCUCUGCCCUAAUUUUGCUCAAAAAUAUGAUAACAUGGGGGCUGAAAUGGCUGUCCUUA